This 196-nucleotide unclassified non-coding RNA is filed under the name uncultured Lactarius. RNAcentral describes it as "sequence contains ITS1". The record is from RNAcentral. Lineage: Eukaryota; Fungi; Basidiomycota; Agaricomycetes; Russulales; Russulaceae.
UCGUACAACAAGAGGCGUCCGGGGCUGUCGCUGACUUCUAAAGUCGUGCACGCCUUGGUCGUUCUCGAUCUACACAUCCUUCUCACCCCUUGUGCAUCACCGCGUGGGUUCACUUCUUUGACGAGGGGACCUGCGUUUUCCUUACACACACAAACCUUGUCACUAUGAAUGUCUUUACUUUUUGUAAUAAUCAGUA